This 7602-nucleotide long non-coding RNA is filed under the name Prunus persica (peach). RNAcentral's name for it is "long non-coding RNA (PPER_LNC008444)". The record is from RNAcentral. Lineage: Eukaryota; Viridiplantae; Streptophyta; Magnoliopsida; Rosales; Rosaceae.
GAAAUAUGAUGCUGUGAUCAACUGUGCAACCGGCAUCGCUUGGUUAACUUUUGAGCCUAAUUUGAGUGCAAAAGGGAAAGUUAUAGACAUUGCCCCAAAUGCAAGUUCUUUCACUACAUUUCUUUUGAAGAAACUCACUUUCUCCAAGAAGUCCUUGGUGCCAUUGCUCAUGAUCCCCAAGGCUGAGAGCUUGGAUUAUCUUGUUAAUUUGGUGAAGGAAGGAAAGCUCAAGACGGUGAUCGACUCAAAGCAUCCCAUAAGCAAGGCUGAAGAUGCUUGGGCUAAGAGUAUUGAUGGCCAUGCUACGGGGAAGAUCAUUGUGGAGCCUUAGGUAGCCAAAAUAUUAUAUCUUCAAAUUGUGAAGUACAUGUACUUAUAUUAAGGAUUGUAAACUUCAUACACUUUUUUUGGGACUGUAAAUUUCAUGUGGAUUAGAGCAUCUCCAACCGAUAUCUCAAAGAGGAAUGCUAGCAACCUUCUCCUUUGGAUCUUCUCCAUUUUUUGCUUGACAUGUGUCAUUAUCCUUACACUUAAAACAAUGUCAUUAAUAUAUUAUACAAGCUAACUUUUGCUUUUCAAGUUUACUCUUAUUAAAUGUAUUGAAUUUAUCCAAAAAAAUUUCAAAACUUUCUUACCAUCUUAUUAAUUUUUUUCUAAAGAAAAUAUAUGCUUUUAAGAGGAAAUGUCCGGUUUUUUUUUUUAAUUUAAAUUUUUUUUAUUUUUAACACAAAGGGUUUAGAUAGAAAAAAAAAAAAAAAAGUCCUUUGUGUUUUUAAAAAAACGGACAUUUCCUCUUUUUUGAAAAAAUCGUAUAUUUUCUUUAAAAAAAUAAUUGACGUUAAAAAAAAAUGAUGGUAAGAAAGUUGUGAAUUUUUUUUUUGGAUAAAUUGAAUACAUUUAAUAAGGGUAAAAUUUGAAUAGCAAAAGUUAACUUGUAUAAUAUAUUAAUGACAUUGUUUUAAGUGUAAGGAGAAUGACACAUGUCAAGUAAAAAAUGGAGAAGGUCCAAAAGAGAAGGUUAGAGAGAAGGUUGCUAGCAUUCCCCUAUGUCAAAAGUGUCACAUAACCAUUUAACGGCUAGAAAUAACAUUGCACAUCACUCCAACCGAUGUGUCAAAGUGGAUGUGGAAUGAAGGCUGGAAGUUUAGAUGUUAUUUUUGACAUCUCAAAAGCAUGAUGUCAAAUGAAUAUUUUAUUAUUAUUCUUUUCUUUUCUUUUUAAUUAAAAAUAAAUCAACACUAAAAUUUAAUAAAAUAAUAAUUUAAUUUGACAUAUUGGGUGGAGUGUAAAGCUGUGUAAGAUGUCAAAUUGCCACAUCAGCUAUUAAAUUUAAAUUUGAUGUUUGGUAUUUGACAUCUUCCUUGGAGAUGCUCUUAGAACAACGUAUUAAUACUUUGUACAUUUUUCUUUAUUUUGUUGAGAAAUUCAAGAGUUAUAAGGUAUUUUUGAGUGAAACUAGGCUCCGAUACUAAUACGAGCUCAUGAGUAGAACUUUCCCCUAAAAAUCGGUUUGUAAAAAUUUGAUUCAAAGCGGCAAUCAGAACUUGCAAAAAAAAGAAUAAAUUUUUUGAUUCAAUUGUCGACCUGCACAUUAUAAAAUCCAAACAUCUUCGGGAGCACAAUCUAAUUAUCUAUGGCACUUUUUAAAGAAAGUACAACCUAUACAUAGUAUACAUAAAAAUGCAGGGUAUUUCCGUCAUUUUAAUUAAUAUUACAGUUGGCAACUUGAGAUGCAUCCACGUGUGGUAUACGUCAAAAACCUUCCACAAGAAUCUAGUAACGCUUCCUCUCUCUCUCUCUCUCUCUCUCUCUCUGUUCAAAUCUUGGAUCUUUCCUUUCUCUUUUGUCUCUGCCGACUCAGGUUAUGGCAGCAGCCAUGGCGUCGAAGCUUAUGCAUGCGGUUCAGUACGACAGCUACGGUGGAGGAGCUUCUGGUUUAAAGGUUCUUUCUUUUUCUACUUGUUUACUUUCAUCUUUCAUUCCUGCUGUGAUUUUUGCUUCUGGUAUUUUGUUAACCGCUUAAUAUUCGGUGGUGUGUAAAAGAAGAAAAAAAAACUGUAUUAACUUUUAGAGUGGUGGGUGGGAGAGUUCAGGCUUAAAAUUGAUUGCAUCAAAAAUAUUUUUGGCCAUGAAAUCCAAAAGGAAAAACGAGAAACAGAACAACCAAUGAGAAAAUGCUUCAGGGUUGUGUUGAAUAUUUACUUACUUGUAGAGAACUUGAAAAUUGUUUAUAAUUUAUGUUUGUUUGCAGCAUGCGGAGGUUCCAGUCCCCACUCCAAAGAAAGGUGAUAUCUUGCUGAAAUUGGAAGCUGCUAGUUUAAACCCAGUUGAUUGGAAAAUUCAGAAAGGCAUGUUUCGGCCUCUUUUGCCACGCAAAUUCCCUCAUAUACCUGGUAAGUGCUGUUUUGCCUGGUGUUGUAGUUGUGUAUUUCAGAUCUAUGCAUCUUUGACAUUAUAAUAUAGAAAUUAUUCCACAACACCAAAAAAAAAAGGUUAUGCCUUUUUGGCACACCGGUGUUUCUGGGAUGACCAACAUGCUAUCAAACUCAACUGAAAAAUGAAUAAAAAAUUGAAUGCUCUCUCGGUGACAUGAAUUGACGACUCCAGUUUUUUACCUGCCUCCUUUACAGACUCUGCUGUGCUUGUUUUUGCAAAUCUUUUAUCACUGCCUGUAGUUUUUGGUGAUGUGAAAUUUACUCAAUUUUGUUAAGUUCAACUAGAAUUUGCCUGUUCCCAGAAACAGUUAACUUUCUGGGAACGUAUUGAUUGAUAAACUAUUUGAUCUUGAUUAAUUACUGCAUCAUUGGAACAUAAAGCAUACCCACUGUGUCUUGAAGAGAUUGCCAUCUAUGAAGAAGUGAAUAUUGAAAAGUGAUCAUAAUGGUUACGGAUUAAUAUAUUUCAGUAAAAUCUCUCAUUCAGACUUUAUUCAUUUGUGGAAGUAUUGCAAGAGUUGAGGUAGAAAAGUUAAACAAAUUUGUGCUUUGAUUUUUAAGUGGAUGAAUAUCAUUCAUAUAUUGUUAGAAGAGUUGUUUUGUGAGUCAUAGGCUGAUAGGUUGGUUUGAUAACAUUGUUUAGCUAAUGACAAUCUUGGGAACAGUUACUGAUGUUGCUGGAGAGGUUGUAGAAGUUGGACAAGGGGUCCAAAAGUUCAAACCGGGCGACAAAGUUGUGGCAUUUCUCACCCACACUGUAAGUGUUCAUUUUAUUCCUUUGGUUAAGCUCUCCAUUUCUUGAGGAAGUUUCACUUAUAAAUCUCAUUUGUUUGUUAGAAUGGAGGUGGACUAGCUGAAUUUGCUGCAGCUAGUGAGAGCUUGACAGUUGCCAGGCCACCUGAAGUUUCAGCGGCUGAUGGUGCAGGCUUACCUGUUGCUGGUCUCACAGCUCACCAGGCUCUCACCCAAGCUGCAGGGGUCAAGCUUGACGGAUCUGGCCAGCAAAAGAACAUAUUGAUUACUGCUGCCUCUGGUGGUGUGGGUCAGUAUGCAGUCCAACUAGCAAAGCUCGGAAACACUCAUGUUACAGCCACGUGCAGUGCUCGUAACAUCGAAUUUGUCAAGAGCUUGGGGGCAGAUGAGGUUCUCGACUACAAGACCCCAGAAGGAGCAGCUCUGAAUAGUCCAUCUGGUAGGAAAUAUGAUGCUGUGGUCCAUUGUGCUACGGGCAUUCCCUGGUCAACUUUCGAGCCUAAUUUGAGCGCCAACGGGAAGGUUAUAGACCUUACUCCUAGUCCAAGUGCCUUUGCUACUUUUGCUCUGAAGAAACUCACCUUCUCCAAGAAGCAGCUGGUGCCACUGUUCAUGAGUGCCAAGAGUGAGAACCUUGAUUAUCUUGUCAAGUUAGUGAAGGAAGGAAAGCUCAAGACUGUGAUCGACUCGAAGCAUCCUCUGAGCAAGGCUGAAGAUGGUUGGGCUAAGAGUAUUGAUGGACAUGCAACUGGGAAGAUAAUUGUGGAGCCUUAAGUAGACAAACGAAAACUAUAGUGGGAUAUAAACCUCACGUACUUGAUGGAAGUUGUUUGAUACAGAUAGUUAUGUCAUGUGUAAUAUAAAAUUAUAUAAUAAUGUGGGGUUUUAUAAUCCUGAAUCAAUAUUGUAAAUAUUGAGGUUUGGAUUAUAUAUUGUUCAUUUUCAUGUUGAUUAUAUUUCACAGUAAAUUCAUAUAGUUCUCUCAAAAACGAAUUUACUCGGUUAUCAAACCAGUAAUAUGGGUUUAGACUCUAGAGAGAGAUGACGAUGGUUGAUAUAAUCAAAUGAAAUAUAAAUAUAUAAAAAAUAGAAAGCCGAAGCAUCAUGAAUCAUGAACAAUUCUACUCUGUUUUACUAUAGACGUGGGCUAAUUACGCACUAGCAACAACGCAAGCUUACUUCAUAAAAUCUGAGACGAGUUUCAAGUUCUGUCGAUUCUUCUGAACAAAACUGAGGGAAGCCUAGGGUGGCAACAAAAAAAAAAAACUGAGGGAGGCUAUGGCGAAAAAUGUUAUGCAUGCAGGCUGUGGUGGUGGACGACCUUCUGGCUUAGAGGUUAUUCAAAUUACAUUUCUUCAAUUUCUAAAUAAAAGUUUCCCUCUGUCAAAUUAGUUUCCUUUUGUUUCUCUUGAAUUAUACUCUCUGUUUGUCCUUGAAGAAAAACCCUUUUACAUUACACGAUCAACUUGUCCACUAUAAACCCCAUGAAAAUUAAAUCACAUGGUGCCUAAUGGAUCUUUUUUCAAGUACUUGUUUGAGUAAAUCAAAAUUUGAAAUGUUGUGAAGGAAAAGAUAAAGGGAGUCUUUUCUGAGUUUUCUUCUUUCCUUUUGCUAAUGUUUUUAUGUUGGGAGAAGGGAUACGGGUUGAGAAAAACUUGCAUGUCACGUGAUAGCACAUAUUAAGCGUGGCAUAACGUGAUUGAUUGGGGAUAGCAAAACAGUGCUAUCCCCAUGACAUGCAAAUUCUUCUUUCUUCUCGUAAGGGUGUGGUGGAGGUUGUGGUUGAGAAUGACCAAGACUAGCUUUUGUACUUGGAAAGGAAACAUACAAUUUGUUUAUGCAUUGAAGAACAUAUUAUUGUUAAGUCAUUGGCCCUUAAUCAAUUUUGGUGCUAAUUGCAGCAUGUUGAAAUUCCAAUUCCAAAUUCAUACAAAGAUCAAGGGAGAGGUGUUGCUGAAAUUGGAGGUGGCUAGUCUAAAGUCAACCCCAUUUGAUUGGAAUGGAAAGUUUGAGAAAGGUAUGCCGUGGACUUUGUUGCCUCCCACCAAUUUUCACACGUACCUCAUGUGACAGCCACUCGCACUUUUGUGGAGCUCGUAGCCUUGACUUGGUCAAGACCUCAGAAGGAGCAAGCAGCUCUACAAGAGAAGAGUCCAUCUCCAUUUGGUCCAAAAUAUGAUGCUGUGAUGUGAUCCAUUAGGCAUUCCUCUGUCAACUUUUCAGCCUAAUUUGAGUGCCACUGGUAUGAUGCUGCUGUGAUUCUAAUGCGAACUCAUGAGUAGAACUUGCCUCUAAAAACCGAAUUGUAAAAGUUUGGUUCAACUCGGCAAUCAGAAUUUUCCAAAUUUUUUUUUUAAAGUUCGAUUCAAUUUUCGGCCAACACAUUGUGAAAAUCAAAACUUUUUGAAAGAAAGCACAACCUAUAGCACUUUUCAAAGAAAGCACAGCCUAUAUAUACGUCAAAACCAUUCCACAAGAAUGUAGUAACACGUCCUCUCUCUCUCUCUCUCUCUCUCUCUCGUAAAAUCUAGGAUCUUUCCUUUCUCGUCUGUCUCUGCUGACUCAGGGUAUGACAUUGGCAGCCAUGGCGACAAAGCUUAUGCGUGCGGUUCAGUACAACAGCUAUGGUGGAGGAGCUUCUGGUUUAAAGGUUCCUUCUUUAUCUACUUGUUUCUUCUAUCAAUGUUAUUUGGUAUAAUUCUCUCAUAUUUCAUUCCCUGCUGUGAUUUUUGCUUCUGACAUUUUGUUAACCGCUUAAUAUUCUCUGGUGCGUAAAAAAAAGAAAAAAAAAUGCAUCAACUUUUAGAGUGGUGGGAGAGUUCAGGCUUAAAACUGAGUGCAUCCUAAAUAUGUUUGGCCUUGAAAUCCCAAAGGGAAAAAAGAGAAACUGAACAACCAGUGAGAAAAUGCUUCAGGGUUGUGUUGAAUGUUUACUUGCUUGUGCCUCUUCUUUGCUUUUCAAAAGCAAUAAAUCCAUGGACGAAAUCAUACAAGUGUAAAAAGACCUUAAUAAAUUGUUUUAAAUAUAUUUUAUGUUUGGUGCAGCAUGUAGAGGUUCCAGUGCCCACUCCAAAGAAAGGUGAGAUCUUGCUGAAAUUGGAAGCAGCUACUAUGAACCCGGUUGAUUGGAGAAUUCAGAAAGGCAAGAUGCGGCCUUUUUUUCCACCCAAAUUCCCUCAUAUACCUGGUAAGUUCUGUUUUGCCUGGUUUUCCCCUAAACCCCUUCUUAUAUUCAUAUCAUUCAAUUGGUAGCAUAUAAGCUGCAACAUACUGAUCAACAAACUGCCUGAUUUUUAUUAAUUACUACAUCAUUGGAACAUAAAGCAUACGCUCUGUGUCCCAAAAGAAUUUUCCUCUUUGAGGAAGUGAUCAUAAUGGUUACAGAUUAAUACAUCUUGACUCUCGAUAAAAUCUCUCAUUGAGACUUUUAUUCAUUUGUGGAAGUAUUGAGAGAGUUGAGGUAGAUAAAUUAGUUGGAUUCCGAAACAAAUUUGUGCUUCGACUUUUAAAAUGGGUGAACAUCAUUCCUAUGUUACGAGAAGAGUUUUGUGAUUUAUACAAGCAGUGUUUGUGAGUCUUAGGCUGGUAGGUUGGUUUGUUAACAGUGAUUGGCUAAUGAAAAUAUUGGGAACAGCUACUGAUGUUGCUGGAGAGGUUGUAGAAGUUGGAAAAGGGGUCCAAAAGUUCAAACCGGGCGACAAAGUUGUGGCAUAUCUCACCCUCGCUGUAAGCCUUCAUUGUAUUCCUUUGGUUAAUCUCUCCCUUUCUUGAAGAAUUUAUUGCACUUGGCAACAAGUUUCACUUAUAAAUUUCGUUUGUUUGUUAGAAUGGAGGUGGACUGGCUGAGUUUGUCACAGCUAGUGAGAGCUUGACAGUUGCCAGGCCACCUGAAGUUUCAGCAGCUCAAGGUGCAGGCUUACCUAUUGCUGGUCUCACAGCUCUCCAGGCUCUCACCCAAGCUGCAGGGCUUAAUCUCGACGGAAGUGGCCAGAAAAAGAACAUCUUGAUUACUGCUGCCUCUGGUGGUGUGGGUCAGUAUGCAGUCCAACUAGCAAAGCUCGGAAACACUCAUGUUACAGCCACAUGCGGUGCUCGUAACAUCGAAUUUAUCAAGAGCUUGGGGGCAGAUGAGGUUCUUGACUACAAGACCCCAGAAGGAGCAGCUCUGAUUAGCCCAUCUGGUAGGAAAUAUGACAUCGCUGUCCAUUGUGCAAUAACGGGCAUUCCCUGGUCAACUUUCAAGCCUAAUUUGAGCGCCAACGGGAAGGUUAUAAACAUUACUCCUGGUCCAAGUACCUGGGCUGCUAUUGCUCAGAACACACUCACCUUCUCCAAGAAGCAGCUGGUGCCACUGCUCUUGUGGGCUAAGAGUGAGAACCUUGAUUAUCUUGUCAAGUUAGUCAAGGAAGGAAAG